AAUCAACGCUGGCGGCGUGCCUAACACAUGCAAGUCGAACGAGAAAGCGGGGGCAACUCCGCGAGUAAAGUGGCAGACGGGUGAGUAACACGUGAACAACUUACCCUCGAGUGGGGAAUAACCCCGCGAAAGCGGGGCUAAUACCGCAUAACAUCCUUGAGCCGCAUGGUUCAAGGAUCAAGGGCUCCGGUCGCUCGAGGAGAGGUUCGCGCCUGAUUAGCUAGUUGGUGAGGUAACGGCCCACCAAGGCGACGAUCAGUAGCCGGCCUGAGAGGGCGAACGGCCACACUGGAACUGAGACACGGUCCAGACUCCUACGGGUGGCUG
This 327-nucleotide ribosomal RNA is filed under the name uncultured Acidobacteriota bacterium. RNAcentral's name for it is "bacterial SSU rRNA". It matches the Rfam family "Bacterial small subunit ribosomal RNA", at positions 32 to 351 of the family's 1533-position model. Lineage: Bacteria; Pseudomonadati; Acidobacteriota. The record is from RNAcentral.